CCUACGGGAGGCAGCAGUAGGGAAUCUUCCACAAUGGGCGAAAGCCUGAUGGAGCAACGCCGCGUGGGUGAAGAAGGUCUUCGGAUCGUAAACCCCUGUUGUUAGAGACGAAAGUGCGGGAGAGUAACUGUUCACGUUUCGACGGUAUCUAACCAGCAAGCGACGGCUAACUACGUGCCAGCACCCGCAGGAAUACGAAGGUGGCAAGCGUUAUCCGGAUUUAUUGGGCGUAAAGGGAACGCAGGAGGCCUUUUAAGGCUGAUGUGAAAGCCUUCGGCUUAACCGGAGUAGUGCAGUGGAAACUGGAAGACUUGAGUGCAGGAGAGGAGAGUGGAA
Molecule: ribosomal RNA, 336 nt
Filed under: uncultured bacterium
Lineage: Bacteria
Description: partial 16S ribosomal RNA
Rfam family: Bacterial small subunit ribosomal RNA
Source: RNAcentral